UUUAAAGUCUAAUCUGCCCUAUGAGGAAUUAAAUGGCCGCGGUACUUUGACUGUGCAAAGGUAGCAUAAUAAUUAGUUUUUUAAUUGAAAGCUGGAAUGAAUGAUUGGACGAGAAAAUAGCUGUCUCAAUUUAAUUUUAUUAGAAUUUUAUUUUUAAGUUAAAAAGCUUAAAUAUUUUUAAAAGACGAGAAGACCCUAUAGAGUUUUAUAAUUAUUUGAGUAUAGAUUUUUUAGUAAUAUUUUAUUGAUACUUAAUUAAUUAUUUUAUUGGGGUGAUAGAAAAAUUGAAUUAACUUUUUCAUUUGAUUAACAUUAAUUUGUGAAUUUUUGAUCCAUUAUUUAUGAUUAAAAGAUUAAGUUACCUUAGGGAUAACAGCGUAAUGUUUUUUAAGAGUUCUUAUCGAAAAAAUAGAUUGCGACCUCGAUGUUGGAUUAAAAUUUAUAUAGGGUGUAGAAGCUUUAUAAUUGGGUCUGUUCGACCUUUAAAAUUUUACA
RNAcentral lists this ribosomal RNA (495 nucleotides) under Chrysoserica auricoma. RNAcentral's name for it is "partial 16S large subunit ribosomal RNA". It matches the Rfam family "Bacterial large subunit ribosomal RNA", at positions 1844 to 2600 of the family's 2925-position model. The record is from RNAcentral. Lineage: Eukaryota; Metazoa; Arthropoda; Insecta; Coleoptera; Scarabaeidae.